GUCUCAGGCCGUAUCAGCCUGAAGGCGCCCGAUCUCGUCUGAUCUCGGAAGCUAAGCAGGGUCGGGCCUGGUUAGGAUCUUGGAUGGGAGACC
Molecule: ribosomal RNA, 93 nt
Organism: Bison bison bison
Lineage: Eukaryota; Metazoa; Chordata; Mammalia; Artiodactyla; Bovidae
Source: Ensembl